GCUCCAUGGUCGAAAGGGAAGGGUAGAGCACUGAAUGGAUGAUGGGGCCUACCGGCUUACUGACUUCAAUCAAACUCCGAAUACCCAUGACCGUAUCGCGGGAGUCAGACCUUGGGGGAUAAGCUCCAUGGUCGAAAGGGAAACAGCCCAGACCAUCAGUUAAGGUCCCAAAGCUGUUGCUAAGUGCAUAAGGAUCUGGAGUUGCUAAGACAGUGAGGAUGUUGGCUUAGAAGCAGCCACCAUUUAAAAAGUGCGUAAUAGCUUACUCAUCGAGCAACUUUGGGCCGAAAAUUAACGGGACUAAGCAACACACCGAAACUAUGGGUGUAUAUGAAUUUAUACGCGGUAGGAGAGCGUUCUACGUUAGAUUGAAGGUGUACCGAAAGGAACAUUGGACGAUGUAGAAGUGCUUAUGCAGACAUGAGUAGCGAUAAGGGGAGCGAGAAUCUCCCCCACCGAAAGCCUAAGGUUUCCUGGGGAAGGCAAAUCCGCCCAGGGUGAGUCGGGACCUAAGGCGAGGCCGAAGGGCGUAGUCGAAGGACAACAGGUUAAUAUUCCUGUACCACUUGGUAUGCGUUAUACCAAAGGAGGGACGCAGGAGGAUAGGUGAUCCGAGUGAUAGUUAUCUCGGUACAAGCGUGUAGGGUGUCCACUAGGUAAAUCCGGGGGACGUGACCUGAGACGUGAUGUGGAGCGCAAGCGAACUCAUUGAUUCCAUGCUGCCAAGAAAAUCUUCUAGGAAGUGUAACAAGUGCCCGUACUAAAACUGACACAGGUAGGCAGGUCGAAUAGACCAAGGUGCUCGAGAAAACUCUCGUUAAGGAACUCGGCAAAUUGGCCCCGUAACUUCGGGAUAAGGGGUGCCCCUCUGGUGAAGAACCUGCGUUCUCAGCUAUGGGGGGUCACAGUAAAUAGGUGGUAGCGACUGUUUAGCAAAAACACAGCACUAUGCCAAGUCGCAAGACGCAGUAUAUAGUGUGACGCCUGCCCAAUGCUGGAAGGUCAAGGGGAACGGUUAGCGCAAGCGAAGCUGUGAACUCAAGCCCCAGUGAAUGGCGGCCGUAACAAUGACGGUCCUAAGGUAGCGAAAUUCCUUGUCGGGUAAGUUCCGACCUGCAUGAAUGGCGUAACGACUUCCACACUGUCUCAACGAGAGGCUCGGCGAAAUUGUAGUAGUGGUGAAGAUGCCACUUUCCCGCACCUAGACGGAAAGACCCCGUGAACCUUUACUGUAACCUGGCAUUGGGUGUUUGUAUCAGUUGUGUAGCAUAGGUGGGAGACUUUGACCUCUGGACGCUAGUCCUGAGUGAGUCGUCA
RNAcentral lists this ribosomal RNA (1317 nucleotides) under metagenome. RNAcentral describes it as "bacterial LSU rRNA". It matches the Rfam family "Bacterial large subunit ribosomal RNA", at positions 879 to 2191 of the family's 2925-position model. The record is from RNAcentral.